CCUACGGGGGGCAGCAGUGGGGAAUAUUGGACAAUGGGGGGAACCCUGAUCCAGCCAUGCCGCGUGUGUGAAGAAGGCCCUCGGGUUGUAAAGCACUUUCAGUGAGGAAGAACGCCUGGUGGUUAAUACCCAUCAGGAAAGACAUCACUCACAGAAGAAGCACCGGCUAACUCCGUGCCAGCAGCCGCGGUAAUACGGAGGGUGCGAGCGUUAAUCGGAAUUACUGGGCGUAAAGCGCGCGUAGGUGGCUUGAUAAGCCGGUUGUGAAAGCCCCGGGCUCAACCUGGGAACGGCAUCCGGAACUGUCAAGCUAGAGUGCAGGAGAGGAAGGUAGAAUUCCCGGUGUAGCGGUGAAAUGCGUAGAGAUCGGGAGGAAUACCAGUGGCGAAGGCGGCCUUCUGGACUGACACUGACACUGAGGUGCGAAAGCGUGGGUAGCAAACAGGAUUAGAUACCUGGUAGUC
This 464-nucleotide ribosomal RNA is filed under the name Vreelandella stevensii. Its description in RNAcentral is "partial 16S ribosomal RNA". It matches the Rfam family "Bacterial small subunit ribosomal RNA", at positions 338 to 795 of the family's 1533-position model. The record is from RNAcentral. Lineage: Bacteria; Pseudomonadati; Pseudomonadota; Gammaproteobacteria; Oceanospirillales; Halomonadaceae.